This is a non-coding RNA of Ixodes scapularis (black-legged tick), 46 nucleotides long. Lineage: Eukaryota; Metazoa; Arthropoda; Arachnida; Ixodida; Ixodidae. The record is from Rfam.
UAUACGGCCCUUUUCAGGGCCCCCUAUAGUUUGCAAACGGUACUGU